UUUCAUUCAUUAUAAUUAUUAUUUUGCACACUUCGCUUUGAGGCAGGGAGGCAGAAAGAGAGAUAUGAGUGGAUUUUUAAGAAGAAGAAACAGAUCUUCUUUACUUUUUUCGUUGUUCUUCCUCUCUGUUCCUCUUCCUUUCUUUUCAGGUAUAGCCGAUGACUCGUCUGGGCCAAAAAAUGGCACUAUGAAGUCUGAUAAGCAUGCUGCUUCUACAAACAAUACUGGGAUCCCCAAGAUUGCCAUCAUUUUUGUUUCCGUGGUGGCAAUAGGGUUUCUCGCUUUUUUCCUUUUCAAGUUUUGGCAAAAGAAGAAAAGAGAAGAGCAGUAUGCCCGUCUUUUGAAGUUGUUUGAAGAGGAUGAUGAGCUUGAAGUUGAACUUGGCCUUCGGGACUAACUCUUUUAUUGUACUUAAAGGCUUGAAAGAAAUUUGUUCAGAGGAAAAGUUGCUUCUCUGUUGCCAAGAUUGGGCUGUGGUGAUCCCUGUGUAGAGGUUAGAUGAUCUUCCAAUUGAAUUGCGUAAUAUUUGUCACUUUUCAUGAAUUUGAAUUCUUUGAUUACUUAGAGAAGAUUAGAUUCUUCUUUGAAUAAGUUCCGAGGGUCUCAUUCCCAGUUUGUAAAAAUGAUUCUUUGUUCUGAUGGACAUUGAAGUGUAUAAGAUCAUGCAUUUUGAUGCAAAGCAUCUUGAAUGCAUAUAUUCAAUGUUACUAGAAAGGAUGAGUGGAUGUAACUUCUUCGAUUCUAGCUGCUA
Molecule: long non-coding RNA, 751 nt
Organism: Populus nigra (black poplar)
Lineage: Eukaryota; Viridiplantae; Streptophyta; Magnoliopsida; Malpighiales; Salicaceae
Exons: 3
Source: RefSeq, a predicted model, not a curated record